Molecule: transfer RNA, 63 nt
Filed under: Cichlidogyrus mbirizei
Lineage: Eukaryota; Metazoa; Platyhelminthes; Monogenea; Dactylogyridea; Ancyrocephalidae
Description: tRNA-Leu
Source: RNAcentral
UUAGGAAUGCCAGAGUGAUAUGGGCUUGCUUUAGGAGCAAGAUACGGUGAAAAUCUUCCUAAA